GGCUGAAACUCGCCUACAUGAAGCUGGAGUUACUAGUAAUCGCAGAUCAGAAUGCUGCGGUGAAUGCGUUCCCGGGUCUUGUACACACCGCCCGUCACACCACGGAAGUUGGGGGCGCCCGAAGCCACUUAGCUAACCCAUUUGGGAAGCGAGUGUCGAAGGUGAAAUCAAUAACUGGGGUGAAGUCGUAACAAGGUAUC
RNAcentral lists this ribosomal RNA (200 nucleotides) under uncultured bacterium. Its description in RNAcentral is "partial 16S ribosomal RNA". It matches the Rfam family "Bacterial small subunit ribosomal RNA", at positions 1303 to 1500 of the family's 1533-position model. The record is from RNAcentral.